AACGCACAUUGCGCCCCCCGGCAUUCCGAGGGGCAUGCCUGUUCGAGCGUCAUAAUAGCCAAUCCAGCCCCGCUGGGUCUUGGGCUCGCCGGUAGGCGUCCCUCAAAGCCAGUGGCGGCGCCGUCCGGCUCCCGAGCGUAGUACAACCCCUCGCUACGGGACCGGGCGCGCGCCCGCCAGCAAACCCUUCUACGGUUGACCUCGGAUCAGGUAGGGAUACCCGCUGAACUUAA
RNAcentral lists this unclassified non-coding RNA (233 nucleotides) under Helotiales sp. RNAcentral's name for it is "partial contains 5.8S ribosomal RNA, internal transcribed spacer 2, and large subunit ribosomal RNA". The record is from RNAcentral. RNAcentral also lists the same sequence under 2 other names. Lineage: Eukaryota; Fungi; Ascomycota; Leotiomycetes; Helotiales.